RNAcentral lists this ribosomal RNA (1724 nucleotides) under Klebsiella pneumoniae. RNAcentral's name for it is "partial 23S ribosomal RNA". It matches the Rfam family "Bacterial large subunit ribosomal RNA", at positions 1223 to 2925 of the family's 2925-position model. The record is from RNAcentral. Lineage: Bacteria; Pseudomonadati; Pseudomonadota; Gammaproteobacteria; Enterobacterales; Enterobacteriaceae.
GUUGGGUAGGGGAGCGUUCUGUAAGCCUGCGAAGGUGUGCUGUGAGGCAUGCUGGAGGUAUCAGAAGUGCGAAUGCUGACAUAAGUAACGAUAAAGCGGGUGAAAAGCCCGCUCGCCGGAAGACCAAGGGUUCCUGUCCAACGUUAAUCGGGGCAGGGUGAGUCGACCCCUAAGGCGAGGCCGAAAGGCGUAGUCGAUGGGAAACAGGUUAAUAUUCCUGUACUUGGUGUUACUGCGAAGGGGGGACGGAGAAGGCUAUGUUAGCCGGGCGACGGUUGUCCCGGUUUAAGCAUGUAGGCUGGUUAUCCAGGCAAAUCCGGAUAAUCAAGGCUGAGGUGUGAUGACGAGGCACUACGGUGCUGAAGUAACAAAUGCCCUGCUUCCAGGAAAAGCCUCUAAGCAUCAGGUAACAUCAAAUCGUACCCCAAACCGACACAGGUGGUCAGGUAGAGAAUACCAAGGCGCUUGAGAGAACUCGGGUGAAGGAACUAGGCAAAAUGGUGCCGUAACUUCGGGAGAAGGCACGCUGGUGUGUAGGUGAAGUCCCUGCGGAUGGAGCUGAGACCAGUCGAAGAUACCAGCUGGCUGCAACUGUUUAUUAAAAACACAGCACUGUGCAAACACGAAAGUGGACGUAUACGGUGUGACGCCUGCCCGGUGCCGGAAGGUUAAUUGAUGGGGUUAUCCGUAAGGAGAAGCUCUUGAUCGAAGCCCCGGUAAACGGCGGCCGUAACUAUAACGGUCCUAAGGUAGCGAAAUUCCUUGUCGGGUAAGUUCCGACCUGCACGAAUGGCGUAAUGAUGGCCAGGCUGUCUCCACCCGAGACUCAGUGAAAUUGAACUCGCUGUGAAGAUGCAGUGUACCCGCGGCAAGACGGAAAGACCCCGUGAACCUUUACUAUAGCUUGACACUGAACAUUGAGCCUUGAUGUGUAGGAUAGGUGGGAGGCUUUGAAGCGUGGACGCCAGUCUGCGUGGAGCCAACCUUGAAAUACCACCCUUUAAUGUUUGAUGUUCUAACGUUGGCCCCUGACCGGGGUUGCGGACAGUGUCUGGUGGGUAGUUUGACUGGGGCGGUCUCCUCCCAAAGCGUAACGGAGGAGCACGAAGGUUAGCUAAUCCUGGUCGGACAUCAGGAGGUUAGUGCAAUGGCAUAAGCUAGCUUGACUGCGAGCGUGACGGCGCGAGCAGGUGCGAAAGCAGGUCAUAGUGAUCCGGUGGUUCUGAAUGGAAGGGCCAUCGCUCAACGGAUAAAAGGUACUCCGGGGAUAACAGGCUGAUACCGCCCAAGAGUUCAUAUCGACGGCGGUGUUUGGCACCUCGAUGUCGGCUCAUCACAUCCUGGGGCUGAAGUAGGUCCCAAGGGUAUGGCUGUUCGCCAUUUAAAGUGGUACGCGAGCUGGGUUUAGAACGUCGUGAGACAGUUCGGUCCCUAUCUGCCGUGGGCGCUGGAGAAUUGAGGGGGGCUGCUCCUAGUACGAGAGGACCGGAGUGGACGCAUCACUGGUGUUCGGGUUGUCAUGCCAAUGGCACUGCCCGGUAGCUAAAUGCGGAAGAGAUAAGUGCUGAAAGCAUCUAAGCACGAAACUUGCCCCGAGAUGAGUUCUCCCUGAGACUUUAAGUCUCCUGAAGGAACGUUGAAGACGACGACGUUGAUAGGCCGGGUGUGUAAGCGCAGCGAUGCGUUGAGCUAACCGGUACUAAUGAACCGUGAGGCUUAACCUU